This 118-nucleotide microRNA precursor is filed under the name Pelobates cultripes (western spadefoot toad). Lineage: Eukaryota; Metazoa; Chordata; Amphibia; Anura; Pelobatidae. The record is from RNAcentral.
CUCCAGGAAGCAGCUCCCCUGUCCUCCCGCGCGAUGCUGUGUGGAGCGUUGCCAUGGUAACGCGCGGCAACGCUCCACACAGCAUCGCGCGGGAGGACAGGGGAGCUACUUCCUGGAG